RNAcentral lists this ribosomal RNA (497 nucleotides) under uncultured bacterium. RNAcentral describes it as "partial 16S ribosomal RNA". It matches the Rfam family "Bacterial small subunit ribosomal RNA", at positions 28 to 507 of the family's 1533-position model. The record is from RNAcentral.
GAUGAACGCUGGCGGCGUGCCUAAUACAUGCAAGUCGAGCGAACAGACGAGGAGCUUGCUCCUCUGACGUUAGCGGCGGACGGGUGAGUAACACGUGGAUAACCUACCUAUAAGGCUGGGAUAACUUCGGGAAACCGGAGCUAAUACCGGAGAAUAUAUUGAACCGCAUGGUUCAAUAGUGAAAGACGGUUUUGCUGUCACUUAUAGAUGGAUCCGCGCCGCAUUAGCUAGUUGGUAAGGUAACGGCUUACCAAGGCAACGAUGCGUAGCCGACCUGAGAGGGUGAUCGGCCACACUGGAACUGAGACACGGUCCAGACUCCUACGGGAGGCAGCAGUAGGGAAUCUUCCGCAAUGGGCGAAAGCUUGACGGAGCAACGCCGCGUGAGUGAUGAAGGUCUUCGGAUCGUAAAACUCUGUUAUUAGGGAAGAACAAAUGUGUAAGUAACUAUGCACGUCUUGACGGUACCUAAUCAGAAAGCCACGGCUAACUACGUG